RNAcentral lists this ribosomal RNA (407 nucleotides) under uncultured bacterium. RNAcentral's name for it is "bacterial SSU rRNA". It matches the Rfam family "Bacterial small subunit ribosomal RNA", at positions 355 to 774 of the family's 1533-position model. The record is from RNAcentral.
UGGGGAAUAUUGCACAAUGGGCGAAAGCCUGAUGCAGCGACGCCGCGUGAGGGACGAAGGUCUUCGGAUCGUAAACCUCUUUCAGCAGGGACGAAGCGAAAGUGACUGUACCUGCAGAAGAAGCACCGGCUAACUACGUGCCAGCAGCCGCGGUAAUACGUAGGGUGCAAGCGUUGUCCGGAUUUAUUGGGCGUAAAGAGCUCGUAGGCGGUUCGUCACGUCGGAUGUGAAAACCUGGGGCUUAACCCCGGGCCUGCAUACGAUACGGGCGAACUAGAGUUCGGUAGGGGAGACUGGAAUUCCUGGUGUAGCGGUGAAAGGCGCAGAUAUCAGGAGGAACACCGGUGGCGAAGGCGGGUCUCUGGGCCGAUACUGACGCUGAGGAGCGAAAGCGUGGGGAGCAAACA